UCCUUCGGUUUGUUUCGGAUCCCGUCUCCACCCGCCGUUCAAGCAGAGAAUCCUGAUUUGUUAAGUUUUCCCCCUAAAUAAAUAUCUGUCUCUCAGUUCUGAGCUAGUGUGGGACUUCUUUUAAGCGUCCCAUCUCUCCGCCAUCAGCCGAGGUCUGUGGCUCUCCGGACUGGGGUUCCAGACACGCGACUCUGAGUGCAUGCCGAACUACUUCUCAAGAGCUAGACGGAGUCAGGAGCAUCCAAGACCGGCUGCCGCUUCCCUUUGAAUAUGUUUAAACUACCACACAGAGAGUUUGCUGGGAGUCUUAGGAUUCCGUGCACCUGGAGAGCUGAGAACCCUCCACGACGCUGAUGCUGAGGUUCUUGCUUUCGAAUUAUGUUCGACUCCCGGUGUUAGCUUUGUCUUCAUGUUUCUCCAAAUAGUCUCUCCAAUUCUUGAAAAAUACUGCUAUUGUUCUAAUAAAAUGACAUAUUGUGAAAGUUCA
This is a long non-coding RNA of Alexandromys fortis (reed vole), 487 nucleotides long. RefSeq lists it as uncharacterized. The transcript has 2 exons. The record is from RefSeq and is a predicted model, not a curated record. Lineage: Eukaryota; Metazoa; Chordata; Mammalia; Rodentia; Cricetidae.